This 504-nucleotide ribosomal RNA is filed under the name Preussia minimoides. RNAcentral describes it as "eukaryotic LSU rRNA". The stretch from base 132 to 285 matches the Rfam family "5.8S ribosomal RNA". The record is from RNAcentral. Lineage: Eukaryota; Fungi; Ascomycota; Dothideomycetes; Pleosporales; Sporormiaceae.
CCCCGUCGAGAUAGAACCCUUGCCUUUUUGAGUACCAUUUUCGUUUCCUCGGCGGGCUCGCCCGCCAACGGGGACCAACCACAAACGCUUUGUAGUACCUGUAAUCGUCUGAUAAACAAGCAAAAAAUUAAAACUUUCAACAACGGAUCUCUUGGUUCUGGCAUCGAUGAAGAACGCAGCGAAAUGCGAUAAGUAGUGUGAAUUGCAGAAUUCAGUGAAUCAUCGAAUCUUUGAACGCACAUUGCGCCCUUUGGUAUUCCUUAGGGCAUGCCUGUUCGAGCGUCAUUUAAACCCUUCAAGCUCAGCUUGGUGUUGGGUGACUGUCCGCCGCCCCCGGGCGCGGACUCGCCCCAAAUUCAUUGGCGGCCGGUACGUAGGCUUCGAGCGCAGCAGAAACGCGAACUCGGGCCCGCGGUGUCGGCUCCCAGAAGCCAUCUCUUUUAUUUUGACCUCGGAUCAGGUAGGGAUACCCGCUGAACUUAAGCAUAUCAAUAAGCGGAGGAA